GCCCAGUAUAGAUGUUUAGAGCUUGUGAGGGAGUAGCAAGUCACCAGUGAAUGUCAGUCUAAAGAAUGAAUAAAAUCCUUGAAUGUGUAUUGUCCACAUAGGCUGAGCCAUGUCAAGGACCAGCUGCCUCCUACCAAUGGGAAACUGGCAAAGCCUUCAUUGGUCCAAGAAGGAAUGUUUAUAAGUGAUUGGCCAGCAUGUGUGAUUGCACACACUGCAGCUUCCUCUUCCAGGACAUUACAGACUGCUUGCCUACAGACCGCCUACCCAGACUAGCUAGCCCCUACCUCGGGCUGCACUGAGAUUCCUGUUCUUUCCAUUAAUCGGUGCCUCUCCACCAUAUGUGCGCAGCCCACCUGACCCAGCUUUUCUGUGCCCACAUGUCUGUUUUUAUCUUUUCUUUAUUCCCUAUGCAUCCCUAGUCAGAUUUCCAGGACCAUGCCACAGCAGAUGUAGCAAGAACUGAACUUGGGUCCUCCUGUAAGAACAUGCUGGGAAUCAAACCAAGAUUGUGUCCUAGGUUGCUCUGGAUCCCACCCAGUUAAUGGUGUGAGGCAUUACAGUGUACUGAGACUGGUAACAACAACAACAACAGCAACAGUUCCAACAAACUGUCUUCAAGUGGAGAAGAUGAAUGUAUGAAUUCAGGAAUUAAAGUUUUGUUCAUUGCUA
Molecule: long non-coding RNA, 672 nt
Organism: Mastomys coucha (southern multimammate mouse)
Lineage: Eukaryota; Metazoa; Chordata; Mammalia; Rodentia; Muridae
Exons: 2
Source: RefSeq, a predicted model, not a curated record